RNAcentral lists this ribosomal RNA (471 nucleotides) under uncultured bacterium. RNAcentral describes it as "bacterial SSU rRNA". It matches the Rfam family "Bacterial small subunit ribosomal RNA", at positions 355 to 817 of the family's 1533-position model. The record is from RNAcentral.
UGGGGAAUAUUGGACAAUGGGGGCAACCCUGAUCCAGCCAUGCCGCGUGUGUGAAGAAGGCCUUUUGGUUGUAAAGCACUUUAAGCAGUGAGAAGACUCCAUGGUUAAUACCCAUGGACGAUGACAUUAGCUGCAGAAUAAGCACCGGCUAACUCUGUGCCAGCAGCCGCGGUAAUACAGAGGGUGCAAGCGUUAAUCGGAAUUACUGGGCGUAAAGCGAGCGUAGGUGGCUUGAUAAGUCAGAUGUGAAAUCCCCGGGCUUAACCUGGGAACUGCAUCUGAUACUGUUAGGCUAGAAUAGGUGAGAGGAAGGUAGAAUUCCAGGUGUAGCGGUGAAAUGCGUAGAGAUCUGGAGGAAUACCGAUGGCGAAGGCAGCCUUCUGGCAUCAUAUUGACACUGAGGUUCGAAAAGCGUGGGUAGCAAAACAGGAUUAGAUACCCUGGUAGUCCACGCCGUAAACGAUGCCUGAU